RNAcentral lists this transfer RNA (73 nucleotides) under compost metagenome. RNAcentral describes it as "tRNA-Glu". It matches the Rfam family "tRNA". Rfam says of the family: Transfer RNA (tRNA) molecules are approximately 80 nucleotides in length. Their secondary structure includes four short double-helical elements and three loops (D, anti-codon, and T loops). Further hydrogen bonds mediate the characteristic L-shaped molecular structure. tRNAs have two regions of fundamental functional importance: the anti-codon, which is responsible for specific mRNA codon recognition, and the 3' end, to which the tRNAs corresponding amino acid is attached (by aminoacyl-tRNA synthetases). tRNAs cope with the degeneracy of the genetic code in two manners: having more than one tRNA (with a specific anti-codon) for a particular amino acid; and 'wobble' base-pairing, i.e. permitting non-standard base-pairing at the 3rd anti-codon position. The record is from RNAcentral.
GUCCCGUUCGUUUAGCGGCAGGACGCAACCCUCUCACGGUUGUAGCAGCGGUUCGAAUCCGCUACGGGAUACC